Molecule: transfer RNA, 72 nt
Filed under: Camelus ferus (Wild Bactrian camel)
Lineage: Eukaryota; Metazoa; Chordata; Mammalia; Artiodactyla; Camelidae
Rfam family: tRNA
About the family: Transfer RNA (tRNA) molecules are approximately 80 nucleotides in length.
Source: Rfam by way of RNAcentral
GAAGGUAGAGCUCAGCGGUAGAGCGCCUGCUUAUCAUGCUCGAGAUCCUGGGUUCAAUCCCCAGCACCUCCG